AUUGUGCCAAUAUUCUAUCCUUGAAUAAUACUAUUUUGGGAAGUGCAUAUGCUGACACAUCCUUAAUAAAUACGAUAUCUAGGAGAUCUUUAUAGCAAAACCAAUGGGACGGCUAUGGAGGCUCAACUUUCUAGCUUAUUUUCAUAGUUCAGCUUCACGACAUACCUUAACUAGUCAGCCUCACCAGCAAGUCUAUUUCCAUCGCCCGAGCUAAUAAGUUAGCUCCGCCACGGAAGUGGGGAGGCAAGUAAUAUGCCUUAGAAUUGACUACAAUUGACAUGGCAGA
Molecule: long non-coding RNA, 286 nt
Filed under: Phoenix dactylifera (date palm)
Lineage: Eukaryota; Viridiplantae; Streptophyta; Magnoliopsida; Arecales; Arecaceae
Description: long non-coding RNA (PDAC_LNC008671)
Source: RNAcentral